CAGGCCUAACACAUGCAAGUCGAGGGGCAGCAUGGUCUUAGCUUGCUAAGGCCGAUGGCGACCGGCGCACGGGUGAGUAACGCGUAUCCAACCUGCCUUACACUCUUGGACAGCCUUCUGAAAGGGAGAUUAAUACAAGAUGUUAUCAUGAGUAAGCAUUUUCGCAUGAUUAAAGGUUUACCGGUGUAAGAUGGGGAUGCGUUCCAUUAGAUAGUAGGCGGGGUAACGGCCCACCUAGUCUUCGAUGGAUAGGGGUUCUGAGAGGAAGGUCCCCCACAUUGGAACUGAGACACGGUCCAAACUCCUACGGGAGGCAGCAGUGAGGAAUAUUGGUCAAUGGACGAGAGUCUGAACCAGCCAAGUAGCGUGAAGGAUGAAGGUUCUAUGGAUUGUAAACUUCUUUUAUACGGGAAUAAACGGAUCCACGCGUGGAUUUUUGCAUGUACCGUAUGAAUAAGGAUCGGCUAACUCCGUGCCAGCAGCCGCGGUAAUACGGAGGAUCCGAGCGUUAUCCGGAUUUAUUGGGUUUAAAGGGAGCGUAGAUGGGUUGUUAAGUCAGUUGUGAAAGUUUGCGGCUCAACCGUAAAAUUGCAAUUGAUACUGGCAGUCUUGAGUACAGUUGAGGUAGGCGGAAUUCGUGGUGUAGCGGUGAAAUGCUUAGAUAUCACGAAGAACUCCGAUUGCGAAGGCAGCUUACUAACCUGUAACUGACAUUGAUGCUCGAAAGUGUGGGUAUCAAACAGGAUUAGAUACCCUGGUAGUCCACACGGUAAACGAUGAAUACUCGCUGUAGGCGAUAUACAGUCUGCGGCCAAGCGAAAGCAUUAAGUAUUCCACCUGGGGAGUACGCCGGCAACGGUGAAACUCAAAGGAAUUGACGGGGGCCCGCACAAGCGGAGGAACAUGUGGUUUAAUUCGAUGAUACGCGAGGAACCUUACCCGGGCUUAAAUUGCAACCGAAUAUGGCGGAAACGCUAUAGCUAGCAAUAGCGGUUGUGAAGGUGCUGCAUGGUUGUCGUCAGCUCGUGCCGUGAGGUGUCGGCUUAAGUGCCAUAACGAGCGCAACCCUUGCCGAUAGUUACUAACAGGUUAUGCUGAGGACUCUGUCGGGACUGCCAUCGUAAGAUGUGAGGAAGGUGGGGAUGACGUCAAAUCAGCACGGCCCUUACGUCCGGGGCUACACACGUGUUACAAUGGGGGGUACAGAGGGCUGCUACCACGCAAGUGGAUGCCAAUCCCAAAAACCUCUCUCAGUUCGGAUUGAAGUCUGCAACCCGACUUCAUGAAGCUGGAUUCGCUAGUAAUCGCGCAUCAGCCACGGCGCGGUGAAUACGUUCCCGGGCCUUGUACACACCGCCCGUC
RNAcentral lists this ribosomal RNA (1362 nucleotides) under uncultured Bacteroidota bacterium. RNAcentral describes it as "uncultured Bacteroidetes bacterium 16S ribosomal RNA". It matches the Rfam family "Bacterial small subunit ribosomal RNA", at positions 43 to 1398 of the family's 1533-position model. Lineage: Bacteria; Pseudomonadati; Bacteroidota. The record is from RNAcentral.